AUGCGAUACUUGGUGUGAAUUGCAGGAUCCCGCGAACCACCGAGUCUUUGAACGCAAGUUGCGCCCGGAGCCUUCUGGCCGAGGGCACGUCUGCCUGGGCGUC
RNAcentral lists this ribosomal RNA (103 nucleotides) under Linnaeosicyos amara. Its description in RNAcentral is "partial 5.8S ribosomal RNA". It matches the Rfam family "5.8S ribosomal RNA", at positions 53 to 153 of the family's 154-position model. From Rfam's summary of the family: 5.8S ribosomal RNA (5.8S rRNA) is a component of the large subunit of the eukaryotic ribosome. It is transcribed by RNA polymerase I as part of the 45S precursor that also contains 18S and 28S rRNA. Lineage: Eukaryota; Viridiplantae; Streptophyta; Magnoliopsida; Cucurbitales; Cucurbitaceae. The record is from RNAcentral.